GUGGGGAAUAUUGGACAAUGGGCGAAAGCCUGAUCCAGCCAUGCCGCGUGUGUGAAGAAGGUCUUCGGAUUGUAAAGCACUUUAAGUUGGGAGGAAGGGUAGUAACCUAAUACGUUGCUACUUUGACGUUACCGACAGAAUAAGCACCGGCUAACUUCGUGCCAGCAGCCGCGGUAAUACGAAGGGUGCAAGCGUUAAUCGGAAUUACUGGGCGUAACGCGCGCGUAGGUGGUUCAGUAAGUUGGAAGUGAAAUCCCCGGGCUCAACCUGGGAACUGCUUUCAAAACUGCUGAGCCAGAGUACGGUAGAGGGUGGUGGAAUUUCCUGUGUAGCGGUGAAAUGCGUAGAUAUAGGAAGGAACACCAGUGGCGAAGGCGACCACCUGGACUGAUACUGACACUGAGGUGCGAAAGCGUGGGGAGCAAACAGGAUUAGAUACCCCAGUAGUCC
RNAcentral lists this ribosomal RNA (450 nucleotides) under uncultured bacterium. RNAcentral describes it as "partial 16S ribosomal RNA". It matches the Rfam family "Bacterial small subunit ribosomal RNA", at positions 354 to 796 of the family's 1533-position model. The record is from RNAcentral.